GCAGCAGUGGUGUAGUGGUUAAGAGCAGGCGAACUCUAACCUGGAGGAACGGGGUUUGAUUCCCCGCUCUGCUGCU
Molecule: transfer RNA, 76 nt
Filed under: Sphaerodactylus townsendi
Lineage: Eukaryota; Metazoa; Chordata; Lepidosauria; Squamata; Sphaerodactylidae
Description: tRNA-Val
Source: RNAcentral